This 21-nucleotide unclassified non-coding RNA is filed under the name Chlamydomonas reinhardtii. RNAcentral describes it as "small RNA Cre_1736". Lineage: Eukaryota; Viridiplantae; Chlorophyta; Chlorophyceae; Chlamydomonadales; Chlamydomonadaceae. The record is from RNAcentral.
GCGCACUGUUUGCCAUCUGGG